RNAcentral lists this unclassified non-coding RNA (314 nucleotides) under plant metagenome. RNAcentral describes it as "partial contains small subunit ribosomal RNA, internal transcribed spacer 1, and 5.8S ribosomal RNA". The record is from RNAcentral.
UUUCCGUAGGUGAACCUGCGGAAGGAUCAUUGCACACACAAGUUGCAGCCAACCCAAGGCGAACGAACACAUUGUCCCCCUCGGUGGGUCGUGGCGCCUCGCGGCGUCGCGGCCGGCCACCUCCCGAGGUCACGAGCGUCAAACCUCGCGGCGUCGGGGGUACCCUUUCACGAUGCAUCCACCCGAAAUGACUGAGUCCCUUAUGAGUGAGAAGUGCGAACUCCGGCCGACCCCCCGCGAAGGAGGCCGGAGUUGGUAACCUCGCGAGUUGAAAUAACCAAAUACAACUUUCAACAACGGAUCUCUUGGCUCUC